Pimephales promelas (fathead minnow) is the source of this 2222-nucleotide long non-coding RNA. RefSeq lists it as uncharacterized. Lineage: Eukaryota; Metazoa; Chordata; Actinopteri; Cypriniformes; Leuciscidae. The record is from RefSeq and is a predicted model, not a curated record.
GCGCAGAAAAGAAAGGAGUGGCGAGGGAUGGAGAGAAAAAGAGGAAAAGGGAGGGAGAGGGUUACAUAUCCUCCUCCUCAGGAAGUGUGAAAGUGUGUUGAUUAGCCAUCGCUGUGGGGCAGCUAAUUCUGACGCCCGACCAACACUGAAGAGGCAGCAGACGGAAAAAGACACAAGAAAGGGAGGACAAGAUGAAUACAGGAUGGGUAAACAAAUUCAGCGUUUAAGAAAACGUAAAGAAAUUCCCAAGAGCCGUGCGCGCUCACAUAUGUGCGAAGACACGAGCCCGGUGUGAGCGAGGAGUUUUCGCCUUGGAGACCAAUUUACAGACAGAAUGAUUGACACACAGAUAACAGCCUGAAAAGACUGGUGCGUUGGAAUACCCGGCCCUUGAUUCGUGUCAACGUUCCCCAUGUAAUGCUUUCAACUGCACGGAGCAUUAAGCUACAGCUUACCUAUUGGAGCAAUGCCAUUUUUUAACGUUUCGCAAAAAGGCCCAUAACACCCAGGUUUGGAAGUUGAAGCACAAGACAUGAGCCAUCUAAAAAGGCCUUUAAGAAGAAGAAAAAACCCAAAGCAGAUGAAAACAGAUAAGGUCGAGCAACUUCUCGGAGUUGUCAACUCGUGUGUGAGCGUGCGCGAGGGGUCUACAUGACAGGACUAGGCCGUUCACACACCCCCUCUCCCUCAGGCAUCUCAGAUGUUAAUUGAGGAGGUCCUCCAGUGGCCAGCCCUACAUAGCCGAAGCGGUGAGCUCUUUUCCCCGUGGGGAGACACGACUGAUACUGUACUAAUCUCUCCUCUCUUCUCAAAUCAUUCUCCACAUCAGCCGCCACUUUAAUUAAUUCACACAGACGCGCUUGACAAGGUCAAGCAGUUAAACGCACUGUUUUAUAUAUAUAUAUCUCCACCACCACACCGUCCUCUCGAUCAUUAGUUCCUCCUCUCCUCCUUUUUAAUCUUUCACUUCGUCCAAAUAAAGGGCUGUUCAUUAGUAGCUUGUGCCGUGUCUCCUUCGUCAGUGAAGAGGAGUCAUCAAAACAGGGGAGGCAGGUACACCAGAUGAGAAAACACGCAUCCUUUCUGUCUUUCACUUUACUUUCUUUCUCCUCUUUCUUUUUUGUUUUGUGUUGAUGAGCUUCUUUAAUUGGGCCACUACAGAGGCGAAGCAAAUCCUCAAUAAUUAAAAAAUCUAAUUACGGAGUCUUUUGCAUCUCUGGCAAUAAUUAUUCCUCGUGGAGUCACUGGAUAGUGAACAUUUCUUCUAUUUUCAUUUCAGUUUUACAGGGGGAAAAGUCUGCUUUCUCCUUAAUGCUUUAUCCCUCCUCUUUUCAGUCUCGUUUCCUCCUCCUUCCCCUUUGCAGCUUUCUCAGGACAAACUUUUUGAUGGCUGUCACUGAUCUUAAACAAUAAAAACACUUAAACACCCACAUGCAGUACACCUACACACAUAUGAGGUGAGCAGCAGUAUGAGUAAACAAAUUAAUAAAAUCACACAAUGAGUAACUUUACAUCAUGUUAACAGUAAAUGGGAUUCUAUAAUCUUUGAAUAAAACAAAAAUAAAACUAUAAACUUUUAUGUAUACAUUCUCUUAUAUACAUAAUCCAUAUGCUAUAUUACACUACUUAUGUUUAAUCCAGUAAAUUAAAUACUUAAAUACCUAUUAAUGACCAGUUCUCCAUAAAACAUAGCAUGGCAAUGGGCACAUCAUGCCGUCAUGCAAACCAAACAUAUCAUAUAUAUAUAUUGUUGGCAACCAGGUGUUCAAGAACAUUGACGUUGAUCGUCUGUCUUUGCUUAUGUACACCCUGCUGUGCUUUAUAACAGUGUAAGAAGCCCCCUGCUGCCCCUCAGAGCAGGAGAACAAGACUAACUGAAAGUGAUUGACAAAAAAUCUGUUACAAUUAAUGUCCUUUGUGGUGUUCUUGUAGGAGAUGCAAUUUUUAGACCAGCUUGAGUCAUUUGCUGAUCCUGUUCCACACCUUUGCAUCAUUUUAUACUUUCACUGUACACUAACACUGAAAAUGGAAAUAAAUAAAUAAAUAAAAUCAUCUAGAACUCGAGACAUGAGUUUAAAGAGACUUUUUCCCCAGUAAAAAAAUAGUCUUACUUUCAUGACCUUAAGAGUUGCUAAUUUUCUCUCCUGAGAAGCCCUGCAGUGUUACAAAUUAAUUUUUCAGAACAAAUCCAGAUUCAGAAUGAAUUUAAUCCCAUUUUUCAA